GACUUGAUUACGGGAGAGGAAAGCGGAAUUCCUGGUGUAGAGGUGAAAUUCGUAGAUAUCAGGAGGAACACCGAUGGCGAAGGCACCUUUCUGGACCAAUACUGACGCUGAGGCGCGAAGGCGUGGGGAGCAAACGGGAUUAGAUACCCCGGUAGUCCACGCAGUAAACGAUGUACACUCGGUGUAGCGGGUAUUAAAACCUGCUGUGCCCAAGCUAACGUGUUAAGUGUACCGCCUGGGAAGUACGGUCGCAAGACUAAAACUCAAAGGAAUUGACGG
RNAcentral lists this ribosomal RNA (279 nucleotides) under uncultured bacterium. Its description in RNAcentral is "partial 16S ribosomal RNA". It matches the Rfam family "Bacterial small subunit ribosomal RNA", at positions 639 to 916 of the family's 1533-position model. The record is from RNAcentral.